UGGGGAAUAUUGCACAAUGGAGGGAACUCUGAUGCAGCGACGCCGCGUGAGUGAUGAAGGAAUUCGUUUCGUAAAACUCUGUUCUAUGGGAAGAAAAGGACUGUACCAUAGGAGAAAGCUCCGGCUAAAUACGUGCCAGCAGCCGCGGUAAUACGUAUGGAGCGAGCGUUGUCCGGAAUUAUUGGGCGUAAAGGGUGCGCAGGCGGCUUUACAAGUUGGAUGUGAAAUAUUGUGGCUCAACCACAAACGUGCAUCCAAAACUGCAAAGCUUGAGUUAAGGAGAGGUAAGUGGAAUUCCUGGUGUAGCGGUGGAAUGCGUAGAUAUCAGGAGGAAUACCGGUGGCGAAGGCUACUUACUGGACUUAAACUGACGCUCAGGCACGAAAGCGUGGGGAGCAAACAGG
This 404-nucleotide ribosomal RNA is filed under the name Fusobacteriota bacterium. RNAcentral's name for it is "Fusobacteria bacterium partial 16S ribosomal RNA". It matches the Rfam family "Bacterial small subunit ribosomal RNA", at positions 355 to 776 of the family's 1533-position model. Lineage: Bacteria; Fusobacteriati; Fusobacteriota. The record is from RNAcentral.